This is a long non-coding RNA of Diceros bicornis minor, 1195 nucleotides long. RefSeq lists it as uncharacterized. The record is from RefSeq and is a predicted model, not a curated record. Lineage: Eukaryota; Metazoa; Chordata; Mammalia; Perissodactyla; Rhinocerotidae. The transcript is spliced from 4 exons.
GAUGCCCCCUGGGAAUUGUAGUCCCCGUCGCCCUCCUUCCGGCUAGCGGGAUUCUAUAGAAGAGACGGAGCUCUAGGGCCGGCGACUAACGGAAAGGAAAGGAGAGAGAAUAGGUGACAUGACGAAGGGGCUGAAGACGAGAAGUUUCUACAGGAAUUGCGGCUUCCGGAGAGGGAACGCCAGAAACUCUAGGGUUGGGAAUGUGGGAGAGGAACGACUCUCUACGCUGACAGCGUGAAUUUCCUCCGGGUGUGCACGUCUGCGAUCACGUGAGCCGGCAUUUAAAGGGAAAGCUACGUCGUCACGUGAGGAGAGCGGCGGCCUCGUGGUUAAAAGAAACUGAGGCGAAGGAGAUCUUAUAGUUUCAGAGAGUAAGCGAUAGCCCUGACAACCGGAGAAGGCCCCUGGACAUCUAGUCUUCGGAGUCCUGCUCCCCAGGCUCAGAAGUCCGAGUCUGCAUCCAUGAGCUCUGCCUCCAUCAGCUUGGGGAACUGGAGACCGUGGAAAAAUGGAGUGCAGCGGCAGCAGAUGUGCCGUGGACUGGAAAGACUGGGGCAGAGCGCAGACGGACAGUCCAGGAGAGAGAGAGAAGCACCUCGGUCCUGGCCUGGCUGCCCCUAAGUAAGGCAGCCAGGUCAAAGCUGUGCCGCUGGAAAAGGCAUAAAAAGAGACUCGAGAACAGCGCUGCCCAAUAGAAAUAUAACAUGAGCCACAUAUACAUCAUCUCAAAUUUUCUAGUAGCCACAUUAAAAAAGUAAAAACACAAGUGAAACUAAUUUCAAUAUAUUUUAUAAACAAUAUAUCAUUGUUUAUUAUAUCAUCAUUUUAACAUGUAACCCAUAUAACAAUUAUUAAUGAGAUAGUUCACUUUUUUUGUGCUAAGUCUGAAAGGCAGUGUGUAUUUUGCAUUUAUGACACAUCUCAGUCUGGACUAGUUUCAACACAUGUGGCUGGUGGCUACCGUGUAGGACAGCACAGAUACAAAACAUAAAUCAGAGGCCCAGACCCUGCCAAAAAGAGGGAAAAGAGGUGGGUUGAACAGAAGGCUGACAGUGCAGGGGGAGGAAACUGAAGUUUACAACAAAAAUGAGCUAAGAAGAUACAGAGGCUUAUUGUGGAGGUGGCAGAUUGAGACAGGGAAAUUAGGGAACAGAGAAUCUGUGCAUGUUGUGAAAAGUGUGUGUGUGUGUGUGUG